GAGUAGCCUGUGUUUAUGCCUUCUCUGGGUCGUCAGUUGACGUUGAAGCGCUUUGUAUGUACUGAUCUAUUCCCAUUAUGAAUCCGAGGCGGAAAACCAAGGGAUAUACAGUCUUAUUAGUUGGCAAAGCAACCAAAUGGUAUGGUUUGAUUCGGAACAUAUAAACUGGUAUUUUUUUCUAGUCUUUUUUCUAAACAAAGACAAUGAAUUCUGGUUCAUCGUAAUUCAGGAUUGAAAAUUAAACGCAAAGCACAUUCUUUUCUUGUGUUAGGACAAUGAGCGAGACCUGAUUUGACCAUUUGAAGCUAAUGACAAAUACAAUGAUGGAUAAUAUCAACUGACAAAUCCCUAUUAACUACAGAGGAGAAAGUAAACCAAUG
This 380-nucleotide long non-coding RNA is filed under the name Aquilegia coerulea. RNAcentral's name for it is "long non-coding RNA (ACOE_LNC001885)". The record is from RNAcentral. Lineage: Eukaryota; Viridiplantae; Streptophyta; Magnoliopsida; Ranunculales; Ranunculaceae.